AUUGCUUCCCUUCCCGUUGAGCAAGUACUUUAUACGGCUCAAAAUCUCUAAUGCCAUUGUAAUGCUAUUAAAAUGUCAGGGCCAAAGUAAGAUGGACAUGAGCAAUUUUGGGAACCUGGCCUUAAAUCUCUCCUAUCGAGUUCUCAACAGUUAAUCAUGCUGUUGAACCACGUACUUUAACAGUUUAUGAACAAAAAAACACGCAAAGAAACAGGACAGGGUCAGCUUAAUAUAUCAUCAUGCAUGAUAUUGAUAUAGCAGGGCAAUCAUAUUAUAGUCCUGGUAGUCUAAUAUGAAUAUGAUAAACUCUAAAUUAUAUACCCGUUAGAAGUUUAAAAAUAUCUGAUUAAGACAUUCAUACGUACCGAGACAACAAGAGCAGAAGUAGCAAGAGCAAAGCCAGCGAUCUUGCUAGCAUCUACACACUUUCGAGCCAAGUCUUUAAGGUCAGAUUGCAAAGAGCAGGAAAUCCUAGCACUAGCUGGUUCGAAGCCAAAAGCCUUGGAAACACUCUGAGAAGACCUGAGUUGAAGGCUGGUCCUAGAAGGCACACCCACCUUGGUGGGUUGCAUCAGUGUAGCUGCUGCUUGUAGUGAGGCAGCCAUUUAGUUCCGACUGCUGUCUGUCUGUCUAGCUUGGAACUGUGUAUUCAAAAGAAAAAA
RNAcentral lists this long non-coding RNA (662 nucleotides) under Populus trichocarpa (black cottonwood). RNAcentral's name for it is "long non-coding RNA (PTRI_LNC001499)". Lineage: Eukaryota; Viridiplantae; Streptophyta; Magnoliopsida; Malpighiales; Salicaceae. The record is from RNAcentral.